Cyprinodon tularosa is the source of this 3574-nucleotide non-coding RNA. The record is from the annotation of a RefSeq genome assembly. Lineage: Eukaryota; Metazoa; Chordata; Actinopteri; Cyprinodontiformes; Cyprinodontidae.
UUUACUCUGAAAAGCAACAUUUCAGCAGAAAGUUGUUUGCUGUCAGAGCAGGAGGUUUUUGUACGGCCUCUUAAUGAGUUUCUAUCACUGUGGGACACUUUUGGUGGAGGAACCAAACUCAUCGUUGACUUGGGUGUGGUGCGUCCCACCCUGACCGUCCUCCCCCCCUCCAAAGAGGAGCAGCAGCAGAGCAAUGUCACACUGGUGUGUCUGGCCAGCGGGGGCUACCCUUCAACCUGGAGGCUGGGCUGGAAGGUGGGGGGCAGCAGCAGGUCCUCAGGGGUGUCUAACAGCCUGGAGGUCCUGGGGAGGGACGGCCGCUACAGCUGGAGCAGCACCCUGAGCCUCCCUGCAGACCAGUGGAGGAAGGCGGACUCAGUGAGCUGUGAGGCCAAUCAGAGUGGACAGAGUCCUGUCACUCAAACCCUGGACCCUAACCUCUGCUCAGAGUAGAGCUGCAGCUUCAUGUCUGGAAAUCAUCAUGUUCUUGUAUUUUAUUCAGGAAGAUUAUGUUUCAUGUUUAGACAGAUUUCUAAUAUUCAUAUUACUGAUAUUCUUCCAUAAAACCUAAAGCAAACUGAUUAUUUCAAUAAAAGUGCAGAUUUAUAGUACUUACUGUCUUUGUAUUUAUUAAUCCUUUAGAAAAUAAAUUUUCUUAAUUAAAUCCCAUUUCAUAUCAUCUGUUGUUCAAAAAAUCUGUUGGUAAGAGAAGAACUAUAAACCCACCUACAAGUGGAUCCCAAAUGCACUUUAAAACAUUUUAUUUCAGCCCGUUAUAAGGAAAAAUUAGAAUAAGCUGUAUGUCACAACAACUGAAAUUAGAAGAACUGUGUAAUUUCUACGGCCUGAAUGAUUUUUUCUUGUAUAUAAACUAUGCUGCCAUAAUAUUCAUUUAAAAACUAGAUCCAACAUUUAGAUUAAAGACAGCUGGAGAUUAAAGCUGUUAAUGUUUUAGUCCACAAAGGUUUAAAACACUGAACUCUGUUGUGAACCUAUAGUGAGCUUUGUAGUGAAAAACUGCAAACAAUGCAUCAACAAUAAAUGCAAAGGGGGAUUGAUGCAUCGCUCCAAAUGAUGUGGAGUAUAGCUUAUACCCUCAGCUACUAGUUAAUAAACUUUAGUUUCUAAAUGAACAAAUUCCAUGUCGUCAUAGUUGAACAUUUAUUCAGAGAAUUACAAUAAUAAAAAAAAAUAUUGUAAAUGACCUUUAGGCAUAAAUAAAGAACCUCUUAGUAAUUACAGAUUUAUUAUAUAUAUUUACAAGUAUUUAUUUGUAUUAACAGAACCUUUUAAUUAACCAAAACGUUUUGAAAUAUAUAAAUUUUGUUGACUAAAUGUAUUUAAUAAAAAUGCCUUAUAUACAUUAAUUACACUUAGCCUGAUGUUUUCAAGCCAUUGGUCCUUUUUUAUUAUGAGGAUAUUCUGCUCACAGAAAACACAAGAUUAAUGAAGCAAAACAGAAAAACAGGCAACAGUUAGGAUUAACUCCACAUUUAGAAACAGCAUCUUAUUUUAUAACACUAAAUGAGUGACGUGUUCAUUAAUACUUAAAAAGCUAAACUUAUGAUAUCAAGUAUGUUUGCUCUAAAAAUCACUUUGCAAUUCUUAAUAGAUACUUUUGAUACUUUCUUUUUGGGUAAUUUAUAUAAAGUGUAUGAGAAGAAAUAAUAUAUGUUUGUUAAACUCUUUCAGGUGGGCUGUGUCUAUACACCCUCUCAUGCAAGAGAUUGUGGGUAUUGUAUAGCUCCUAGCAGCAGCUGAUGAUGUCAGAAGGUCCAUCUGCUAAAUGAAGCAUUGAUAGGAAGCAUCCUGCUUCUACUGCAUUUAGUGUCAGAUAAAACAAAGAUAAAUUAAUGAUGAUCACUAUUUAAUGUAGAAGGGAUAUCUGUUCAUAUUCCAGAGAGAAAAACAAACAGAUUAAUUUGUGAUUAACUGGAGAUUUGAUUAAAUCUAUAUUUUUCUUCAGACAGCUAACAGUAAAAUAUAGCUACUUUAUUUGACUUUAAUGAAACUACCAAGAAUGUUUGGAUGUUUUAGGCAUUUUAAACAAUCAGAGAAGCAUAAUCAGUAGAGAUAAAGACUAAAUAUUUGAGUUUAAUUUUCAACAGUCUUGGUCAGAAUGUGACGUGUCACUCUGCAGAUCCAUUAGUAUAUUCAAGGCUGGUUUGUGUGUGUUUAGUUACACAGUAGUCUUUAUAACAACCUAUUUUCGCAAUAAAACGGAGUGAAUUCAGCAUAUUGGACUUUUUGUUUCUGGUUCUCCUGUGGUACUACUGGUUCAUGAUGUCAAUAGAACCAAGGAAUUUGCUCCAUGUGUGGUUUUUCAGUUAACAAUUUAAAAUCCUGUAAAAAAAUCUUCAGAAAUGAAAUCAAAAAGAGAUGAGAAAGAAAAUUUUAAAUAGUCAAAAUAUUAAAGAUUCUUAUAUUGAGCUGAUGCUCUGAGAGCCUUUCAGUUUUUAAAUUAAACUGACCUUAUCUAUCAAAAGUGACCUUAGUGCUUGGUGAGGUUUGUGUCAGCUCUGUGUUCAGUGGUCUGUAUCAGGGUCUCUUCCUCCUCAGCAGCUGCAGUCAGUUUCUGCUCUAACAGCUCAGUGUGUCUGCAGUCUGACUGAGGGAGGUUUUUGUACAGCUAGAAAUCACUGUGUGAACACAUCAUCAUCAUUUACUUCAUGUAGGCUCUGACAGUAAUAAAUUGCUGCAUCUUCAGCCUGAACUCCAGUGAUGGUCAAAGUGAAGUCAGUGCUGCUUCCACUGCCACUAAACCGAUCUGGUGUUCCUGUCUCAAGGUUUUCCACCUGAUAUAUCAGGAGCUUUGGAGGAUGUCCUUGUUUUUGCUGAUACCAGGACAUUAAAAUAUCAAGAUAAACAGCAGGAUUUGUUGUACAAUUAAUAGUGACAGUUGAUCCUGGAGUAAAUGUCACCACUGGAGGCUGGGUCACAGUCACCUGAGCGCUGCAUCCUGCAGACAAAAACAAAUCCUUCAUUUAUCAGCAGAAAGAAAUGAGAGAAAAAGCAGCACAUCAUGUUAGAAAUGUUGCAGAGGGAAUGAACCUGCAAAACAGCAGCAGGUCAGCGUCCAGAUGAGGAUGGAGAUGAGAGUCAUGGUGCUUGUUGUUUCUGCUGGCUUGACUGACAGAUCAGAGUCCUGCAGUGUUGAACUCUCAGGACUAUAAACCUUCUCAGUUCCCUGGAGGAUCAGCUGACCAUGCAAAGCCUCCUCUCUAUGGAAAUGAUUUCUCUGCUCUCAGCGCACUGGAGACAAACAGAGACACAACAUCUGAACAAAGAGUUGCUGGAUUUAAAUCAAUCAGGAUCUUAUUAAAAUAGAAGAUAGAAAAGAGACAACAUAAAGGAUUUUCAUAUAUGGAAUAAAACAGCUUUUAUCUUGAAGGUAUAUGAAUAAUUAUUCUCUUUUGUUAGUAAGCAAGGUUUAAGAAGUUAUAGAUCAAUAGAAAUUGGUGUUUUUAGGAUUAUAUUAUCUGGAGUAUUAUAAUUUUAUUAUUUCAUGUUUAAACAAAGUAAAAACUAAAUUAUAACAUUUUUUUUACAUAUUUCCACGAGGCAAACAAAAGUU